CGCGGCCUAUCAGCUUGUUGGUGAGGUAACGGCUCACCAAGGCUUCGACGGGUAGCUGGUCUGAGAGGACGAUCAGCCACACUGGGACUGAGACACGGCCCAGACUCCUACGGGAGGCAGCAGUGGGGAAUCUUGCACAAUGGGCGAAAGCCUGAUGCAGCAACGCCGCGUGAGGGACGAAGGCUUUCUGAGUUGUAAACCUCUUUCAGCAGGGACGAUUGUGACGGUACCUGCAGAAGAAGCCCCGGCCAACUACGUGCCAGCAGCCGCGGUGAUACGUAGGGGGCAAGCGUUGUCCGGAUUUAUUGGGCGUAAAGAGCUCGUAGGCGGCUUGGCAAGUCGGAUGUGAAACCUCCAGGCUCAACCUGGAGUCGCCAUUCGAUACUGCCAUGGCUAGAGUUUGGUAGGGGACCACGGAAUUCCUGGUGUAGCGGUGUAAUGCGCAGAUAUCAGGAGGAACACCAGCGGCGAAGGCGGUGGUCUGGGCCAAUACUGACGCUGAGGAGCGAAAGCGUGGGGAGCGAACAGGAUUAGAUACCCUGGUAGUCCACGCCGUAAACGUUGGGCACUAGGUGUGGGGACCUAUCGACGGUUUCUGUGCCGCAGCUAACGCAUUAAGUGCCCCGCCUGGGGAGUA
RNAcentral lists this ribosomal RNA (637 nucleotides) under uncultured bacterium. Its description in RNAcentral is "bacterial SSU rRNA". It matches the Rfam family "Bacterial small subunit ribosomal RNA", at positions 232 to 882 of the family's 1533-position model. The record is from RNAcentral.